RNAcentral lists this ribosomal RNA (254 nucleotides) under uncultured bacterium. RNAcentral describes it as "partial 16S ribosomal RNA". It matches the Rfam family "Bacterial small subunit ribosomal RNA", at positions 524 to 776 of the family's 1533-position model. The record is from RNAcentral.
UACGUAGGGUGCAAGCGUUGUCCGGAAUUAUUGGGCGUAAAGAGCUCGUAGGCGGUUUGUCGCGUCUGCUGUGAAAACCCGAGGCUCAACCUCGGGCCUGCAGUGGGUACGGGCAGACUAGAGUGCGGUAGGGGAGAUUGGAAUUCCUGGUGUAGCGGUGGAAUGCGCAGAUAUCAGGAGGAACACCAAUGGCGAAGGCAGAUCUCUGGGCCGUAACUGACGCUGAGUGAGCGAAAGCCAGGGGAGCAAACGGG